RNAcentral lists this long non-coding RNA (2189 nucleotides) under Anas platyrhynchos platyrhynchos (common mallard). RNAcentral describes it as "lncRNA (ENSAPLG00000016550.1)". Lineage: Eukaryota; Metazoa; Chordata; Aves; Anseriformes; Anatidae. The record is from RNAcentral.
AAGGGGGCUUUUUCUUUCUUUCGCUCUUUCUUCUCGCAGGGAGGAAAGUUGCUUCGCACAAGAACAUGUUGUCAAGGAAAUAAACCUUAGCGAGGGUAGGCAUUAAACACACAGCUGCUGGACUUGGCCGGGCCUUAGACACUGGUGGUAAUGACAAUGAUGCUUAGUGGCAGCAAACCAGAUCCAAACAUAAAUAGGGCUGCAUGAAAGGAGAGGAAAUGGAACAAAACGGUUCCUCGGGUACCACUGGCAGAGGAAUAACAUCAAUUUCGAUUAAAAAGCGAAAGAAUUCUCCUGUUUCCACACAUUAGUAAAGGCAUGCAAAUUCAUAACUCACCAACAAUGUACCUUUGAAAUGCAGCUGCACCCCACAAACGGGGCCUUUCUGCGUGCAGAGAAGCAGCCCUGUUUUAAGCAGAAAGAAAACAACUAUUGAAAAAGCCACAAGAGUCCGUGGCAGCAAGGAGGGGCGCCGGGAGAGGUGGAGGAAACGUGUUGGGUCUGGCAGAUGCGAGACACCGGCGUUUUCCAUAGAAAGGAGCCUUCAUUUCUGGUCGUCCCCCAAAGAAGUGGUUCUUCCUGGGAUCCUCCAGCAGCGUUCUUGUUGGGUGCACAACGCCGUUUUGAUAUCUCCACCUGCUGGAGAAAUCCCAGCACGCACAAAGGAGCCGGCCUCUGCCUUCUGAAAAAUACCCAUCUCCUCCGCACCAGGACAGCACAGCCUCCUUUCCUCCUCCUCCUCCUCCUCCUCUGGGUCAGGAAGAAAGCACAGGGCACGAUGUUCGUCCUGCCAGUGACACUUGCAGACGUUUUCAUCUGCACAGGUCAGUGCGAGUGCCAUUUACUGCCGCCCUCGGGCGCUCCGCUCCGCACGCCGGGAGGAGGUCACCCACAAGCACCAUUGGAGAAUUUGGUGACACAUGUCUGUUCUGGCAACCGACAACACAUUUUGGAAACUAUCCCAAUCUUAUUACAUCAUGAGCUCUUCAAUGGGAGAGGAAGCCUGGAAUCAGGCCUCUCUGGACCAAAAAAAAACACGUUCCCCUGCCAGGUGGCGGGCAGGGAGGGCACACCGGGAGCUGCUGGGCCAGGAGCUGGGCUGUCUGCAGGCUGAGCUGGGACAAGGAGCCCUGGACACCCAGGGAAGUCCUGCCCAUGUUGGCUUUUCUUGGUGUCACUGGGCUGACCUGCAGAAACUGAGGUUUCAACGGGAAGAGUGGCUUCAGAUGGACGAGGUGUUGGCUGGUGUGUGGUGCUCAGUGCCUGUGGGUUUAUCAGUGCUCCAGCAAGGCCUGGGGGCACAGAGCAUCACCGGAGGCCGGUUGCCUUUCUUCUGGGGUUAAGGUAGAGGGAAAAGCACAGAGGAGCCGGGCCACGGCCUGCCUUCAGGUGGCAAGCAGUCAGGGACUCCUCCCCGCCAGACGCCGGAUUCAAGGCGGCGAAUGCGGCCCCUUUCUCUCCCCCUCCCUUCUUUUUUUUUUCCGCUGUGGAAUACAAGGCCACUGCCAAAAACAUAUCCAGCACAAUCAAACAUCAGAUGGUGACUCCUUUCCCACAGCUUGUGUGAGUGAAAACAGUGAAAUUAUACCCAUGUUUUAGCGGCGAAUCCCCUGGUGUUCAGGCGAGGCGAGCCCAGCGCAGGGCUCUUGUUCUCCUGCUUUUUGUUCCUGGACUUGCACUGUUUUUAGCACUGGACACCAUUCAGCCUCCAUUCAGUAUUGUAUGUCACUUCACAUAUGGUUCAUCCGCUCCAAAUGUGUGCAUGUACCCAGAAAAUGCAGCUUUUCAUUAUGUAUUCUCUAUGUAACAGAAAAGAUUAAGAUGUAAGCCCAGUGAAUGCAGCAGGAAUUAGUUGGACAGAUGAAUAAGGGAAAAAUGAAUCUGGAAUGACGGCGGAUUUAGUCUAAUGAUUGUGGGAGGGCGUUAAGAACUUGGUGGUAGGUUUCAGCCCUUUUAAUCCCAGGCUGUGUGUGUAUUUUGGCAGGAGAAAUGUUUCUUCAGAACUGCAUCGAGAGGGAUACAGUAAAAACACUUCUAACACGAUACAGAUGAAAGGCAUCAAAAUCCUUGGGCAAGGUAUCAGCCGCCUCUUCUAAAACUGUUUUUGGGAAUUUUUGGUGGCUGUUGUUGCAGACCCCCUGUACUCAGAAAAAAAAUAAAAAUAAAAAUAUAUAUGUGUAUAAAACCCA